Molecule: ribosomal RNA, 593 nt
Filed under: uncultured bacterium
Lineage: Bacteria
Description: partial 16S ribosomal RNA
Rfam family: Bacterial small subunit ribosomal RNA
Source: RNAcentral
UGGGGAAUAUUGCACAAUGGGCGCAAGCCUGAUGCAGCCAUGCCGCGUGUGUGAAGAAGGCCUUCGGGUUGUAAAGCACUUUCAGCGAGGAGGAAGGUGGUGAGCUUAAUACGCUCAUCAAUUGACGUUACUCGCAGAAGAAGCACCGGCUAACUCCGUGCCAGCAGCCGCGGUAAUACGGAGGGUGCAAGCGUUAAUCGGAAUUACUGGGCGUAAAGCGCACGCAGGCGGUUUGUUAAGUCAGAUGUGAAAUCCCCGGGCUCAACCUGGGAACUGCAUUUGAAACUGGCAAGCUAGAGUCUCGUAGAGGGGGGUAGAAUUCCAGGUGUAGCGGUGAAAUGCGUAGAGAUCUGGAGGAAUACCGGUGGCGAAGGCGGCCCCCUGGACGAAGACUGACGCUCAGGUGCGAAAAGCGUGGGGAGCAAAACAGGAUUAGAUACCCUGGUAGUCCACGCUGUAAAACGAUGUCGAUUUUGGAGGUUGUGCCCUUGAGGCGUGGCUUCCGGAGCUAACGCGUUAAAUCGACCGCCUGGGGAGUACGGUCGCAAGAUUAAAAACUCAAAGGAAUUGACGGGGGUCAUAGCUGUUUUCCU